This 497-nucleotide ribosomal RNA is filed under the name uncultured bacterium. Its description in RNAcentral is "partial 16S ribosomal RNA". It matches the Rfam family "Bacterial small subunit ribosomal RNA", at positions 28 to 507 of the family's 1533-position model. The record is from RNAcentral.
GAUGAACGCUGGCGGCGUGCCUCAUACAUGCAAGUCGAGCGAACAGACGAGGAGCUUGCUCCUCUGACGUUAGCGGCGGACGGGUGAGUAACACGUUGAUAACCUACCUAUAAGACUGGGAUAACUUCGGGAAACCGGAGCUAAUACCGGAUAAUAUAUUGAACCGCAUGGUUCAAUAGUGAAAGACGGUUUUGCUGUCACUUAUAGAUGGAUCCGCGCCGCAUUAGCUAGUUGGUAAGGUAACGGCUUACCAAGGCAACGAUGCGUAGCCGACCUGAGAGGGUGAUCGGCCACACUGGAACUGAGACACGGUCCAGACUCCUACGGGAGGCAGCAGUAGGGAAUCUUCCGCAAUGGGCGAAAGCUUGACGGAGCAACGCCGCGUGAGUGAUGAAGGUCUUCGGAUCGUAAAACUCUGUUAUUAGGGAAGAACAAAUGUGUAAGUAACUAUGCACGUCUUGACGGUACCUAAUCAGAAAGCCACGGCUAACUACGUG